GCAAGUCGAGCGCAGUCCUUCGGGUGGAGCGGCGGACGGGUUAGUAACGCGUGGGAACGUACCCUUUACUACGGAAUAGCCUUUGGAAACGAAGAGUAAUACCGUAUACGCCCUUCGGGGGAAAGAUUUAUCGGUAAAGGAUCGGCCCGCGUUAGAUUAGGUAGUUGGUGGGGUAAUGGCCUACCAAGCCUACGAUCUAUAGCUGGUUUGAGAGGAUGAUC
This 221-nucleotide ribosomal RNA is filed under the name uncultured bacterium. Its description in RNAcentral is "partial 16S ribosomal RNA". It matches the Rfam family "Bacterial small subunit ribosomal RNA", at positions 57 to 305 of the family's 1533-position model. The record is from RNAcentral.